RNAcentral lists this ribosomal RNA (253 nucleotides) under uncultured bacterium. RNAcentral's name for it is "partial 16S ribosomal RNA". It matches the Rfam family "Bacterial small subunit ribosomal RNA", at positions 524 to 776 of the family's 1533-position model. The record is from RNAcentral.
GACAGAGGGUGCAAACGUUGCUCGGAAUCACUGGGCGUAAAGGGCGCGUAGGCGGUCUUGCAAGUCCCGUGUGAAAUCCCUCGGCUCAACUGAGGAACUGCACGGGAAACUGCUUGGCUUGAGUUCGGGAGAGGGAAGCGGAAUUCCGGGUGUAGCGGUGAAAUGCGUAGAUAUCUGGAGGAACACCGGUGGCGAAGGCGGCAUCCUGGACCGGUAUUGACGCUGAGGAGCGAAAGCCAGGGGAGCAAACGGG